GCGCGGCUUAGCAUAAGAACUCUUUUACAGUAUCCCGGAAUUAAUAUGGACCAUCUAUUUCGCUCGAUCUAACGGAUGUGUUUAAUUGGUACUCCAACUUAAACGCGAGGGAGUACCACAUAAAAAAAACUGGGAGUACCUUACGUUUAGGGGUACAAUUGUAAUCUAGUGUCCAAUUCACACGAACACUCGCCAGAGAACGAACAACGAGGGAAAGACCGGGCACCCUGCAGAUGCACCGAGUUCUUCAAGUAUGGCCUGGGCUUGUGCCUCUCUUCCUCGCAGAUGUUCGCUCCGCCCUCCAAUGAUUGAUUGAUAGGCUGUGAAGGAUCCGAAAAGUUGCCGAUACAAGCAAUUGAUCUCACGUGAUUGAUUUGAUUGGAUUCAUGGUAGAGCUUAGCAAUGAUUUUUUCCCUGCACGUGUUCCAGCCUAGUUCGUUGCUUGGAUUGCUACCGUCAUGGUCGCAGUGGUGGGAAGGAGAACAGAUGCCGAUGGCGAAGCACGAUCUGGAGGUGGCGGCGGCCUGAUUAAUCUAUACCAAUAUAUUAAAUUGAAGUUGGUGGUGAUGGUACGAUCGUUGCGGUACGUCACUUCACCGAAAUUACGAAUCUGCCACCGCUGUCCCCACACGCAUUUUAAUCCCGGCUCCCGUGGUCCUCAAGCGUAGAAAAAAUACGUACCGCCCAAAAAAGAAAAAAACAACAACAGAGCCCUCCUUGCUCCUCCUAUCCUACGAAUCUCACCCCCACCCGACCUGGAUCUCGCCGGCGCCUGCCGCCGCUCUUGGUCGCCUCCACCAGCUCGUGCACGUUGGCAGCGUCCGUGUGCGGAAGACGGCUGCAGACCAAUG
This 851-nucleotide long non-coding RNA is filed under the name Brachypodium distachyon (stiff brome). RNAcentral's name for it is "long non-coding RNA (BDIS_LNC004232)". Lineage: Eukaryota; Viridiplantae; Streptophyta; Magnoliopsida; Poales; Poaceae. The record is from RNAcentral.